Triticum dicoccoides is the source of this 808-nucleotide long non-coding RNA. RefSeq lists it as uncharacterized. The transcript has 3 exons. The record is from RefSeq and is a predicted model, not a curated record. Lineage: Eukaryota; Viridiplantae; Streptophyta; Magnoliopsida; Poales; Poaceae.
CUUCCCUCUCCCUUACGCCCUCUGCGAGGGUCGGCGGGCGGACCUCGAGCUCCUCCUCGUCUCGGCGCGCGGUUCCUCCUCGCCGGCUCGUCGCUCCUCGUCCCCAACCCCGACCUCGAGCUUCUCCUACUCCUCGUCACGCCGGCCGCCCCGCACCCUUUGUCGACCUCGGCAGAUCGACCUCGCCGCCGAGCCCCCGACACCAACGGCGAGCUCUUCUCAUCCUCUCCCCCCUCAGAUGGAACCGACAAAGAACGGGAAGGGCAAGAAGAACACACAAGAGCAUAAGAAUGAAACAGAAGAGAAGCUGGUUGUGGACAUUGCGGACAAUGAUUAUAUAGAUGCAGUUGAAGAAACAAAAUCUAUUUCCACUGAUACCCUUGUGACUGAGAGUGAUUCUGAGAGUGACGAUUCCGAGAGUGACGCACCUCAACGAGCGCCAAGCAACAGAACCCGAGGAGGCAAUAGAACCCGAGGAGGAGGAGGAAGGCGAGGGGGCAACAGAACCCGGGGAGGAGGAGGACGAGGGGGUAACAGAAUCCGAGGAGGAAGAAGAGGGGGUAGGGGACGCACUAAUGGUUAGCAUCUUUAUCGUCAUUGCCAAAAUAUUAGUGCAAUUGGAAUGAUGUUGUAAUUGCCUUAGGUCUGGAACUCCAAACUUCUAACUUUAGUCCUUUCUUAGCCGUUCUUACCGUAGUUCGGGCUUCAACCGUAGCGGCCUCUAUGUUGUGUGAUCUCGAUACCAUGUUUGGUUUUGAGCUCCAGUAAUUUAGAGCUUGCAUACAUUUAAUUCAUUGCCUUCUGUCUA